UAGCUGCGUUAAGCGGUGUGAAUUGCAGGACACGCCGAGCACUUGAUUUUCGAACGCAUAUUGCAGCCUCGGGUCUUUCCCGGGGCUUCGUCUGUCUGAGGGUCGGAAUGAAAAACAAACAUUAUGCAAGUCUGUUUAUCGAAAGUGUACCGCCUGUUGGUGUUGUAUCUUUCGUCGGACUCAUGAAAGUACGAUAACAGUUUCUGCGUUGAACGAUAAAACAGCGCAACACCACUGUUGUGUCUGCGUUCACUAAAGCGCGCUCCGUUAUCGGUACAAGACUGUAUUCACACGAAUACUAACUUUUUUCCAUGUCGACCUCAGAUCAGGCGAGAUGACCCGCUGAAUUUAA
RNAcentral lists this unclassified non-coding RNA (352 nucleotides) under uncultured fungus. RNAcentral's name for it is "sequence contains ITS1". The stretch from base 1 to 105 matches the Rfam family "5.8S ribosomal RNA", at positions 50 to 154 of the family's 154-position model. Lineage: Eukaryota; Fungi. The record is from RNAcentral.